GAUGAACGCUGGCGGCGUGCCUAAUACAUGCAAGUCGAGCGAACAGAUGAGGAGCUUGCUCCUCUGACGUUAGCGGCGGACGGGUGAGUAACACGUGGAUAACCUACCUAUAAGACUGGGAUAACUUCGGGAAACCGGAGCUAAUACCGGAUAAUAUAUUGAACCGCAUGGUUCAAUAGUGAAAGACGGUUUUGCUGUCACUUAUAGAUGGAUCCGCGCCGCAUUGGCUGGUUGGUAAGGUAACGGCUUACCAAGGCAACGAUGCGUAGCCGACCUGAGAGGGUGAUCGGCCACCCUGGAACUGAGACACGGUCCAGACUCCUACGGGAGGCAGCAGUAGGGAAUCUUCCGCAGUGGGCGAAAGCCUGACGGAGCAACGCCGCGUGAGUGAUGAAGGUCUUCGGAUCGUAAAACUCUGUUAUUAGGGAAGAACAAAUGUGUAAGUAACUAUGCACGUCUUGACGGUACCUAAUCAGAAAGCCACGGCUAACUACGUG
This 497-nucleotide ribosomal RNA is filed under the name uncultured bacterium. RNAcentral's name for it is "partial 16S ribosomal RNA". It matches the Rfam family "Bacterial small subunit ribosomal RNA", at positions 28 to 507 of the family's 1533-position model. The record is from RNAcentral.